CCAUAUAUGGUAGACCGUGUUCUCCGACCCACCCCUCUUUGUUGGCUCGACCAAUGAGAGGCCGCCAAACGUUGGUGGCUGCCGGGGAUACGAGCGACGGAGGGAUACAGGGAAAACAGCAGGUAGCUAGUGGGUCCGUUUUAUCCCCAAUGAUUUAAUCAUGUAAGGGAUUGAAGGAACCUUUUUAUCAACAUGAAGUCGGAUUUUAUGGGGAGAUAGUUGCUACCGAGGCGCCGUGCAGGCUGCUGACGGAGAGGAAUGCACACUGGAGGUCAUUUUCCCGGACUGGGGAGGUGGGAGGCAACGGCCCCCGCAGUGUUGUGAGGGAUAUUGUUAGCUAGCUAGCGAAACAGAAGGACUUCCGGUUGAUAUUUUCAAAAUAAAAAAGCUCCGACAAGAGCGGGAUUCGAUUGAUUAAAGUUCUCGGGAGAAAAUUUUACUUACAUGCGUGAACUUAUCAAAAACGAAUCCGCAGUGGGUUUAUGAGUAUGCUGCAACGACUCGUGCUAUUUAUUAUACAAACACGCAACAUCGACACACAUGCUGCUUUUACUUUGAAGUGGAACUUACCGCAUCCCCAGUCCAAUUGUCGUUAGCUCUUGGUAGCUUGACACAUACAAGAAGGGGUGAAGUUACAAAGCCUCAGACCAAAACAAGACUUCUCAUCUUGUGGUGGACAACGCCGCCUUGCUAUGAAUGGGACCUACCUCGUCUCACUGUGUUUUUUCCGAGUCAAAUGCCUUUUAAAUUGGAGGGCCUGUCGGUUAUCUGCAAUUGGAGCUCCAGUGGUGGAAAAUACGGUUUGCAGUGAAAGAUCAACAUGUACUGUCAACCACUGAAAAACAAGAAGAGGCUCUUGUAGCUGGAGGAGGAUUACCUGCCCUAACUUUUCCUCCUCCUCCUCCUCCUCCUCCUCCUCCUCCUCCUCCUCACCCUCUUGGGAUCAAUGACCGGACCCAACUCCCCAAGCCGGACCGGCACCACCUCGGCUAAGCUGAGCAGACAUGGCCGGUCCAAGAGCACCAGCUCGCACUGUCUCCUCCGCUGCAGCACCAAGGAGGAAUCCUCCGCCUCCCCCCCUAACAACAGCCCCCGGUCCCCUGGAGACGAAGAGGAGAAGGAUGGAGGGGUUCUUUUUUAUGUGAACAGGACAGGUUUUCCCAUCGAGAGUGUAACCUGGGAAAGAAUGUGGUCCCAUGUGGCUGCUGUGCACCCUGAGGGUCAGGAGAUGGUGGACAGGAUACGAAAUGCUGCAUACCUUCCCAAGCAUUCCGUUCCCUCAGUCCCGACCUUCAAACCGUCCAUGUCGGUUCCAGAUUGGCUUGUGGCCAUCCAGAACUACAUGAAGGCUCUGCAAUACAACCACACAGGAACCCAAUUCUUUGAAAUCAAGAAGAGCCGUCCACUGUGUGGGUUAAUGGAGACAGCAAGAGAGAUGAUCAGAGAGUCUUUGCCAAUCAAAUGUCUGGAAGCCGUCAUCCUGGGAAUCUACCUGACCAACGGGCUGACGUCUCUCGAGCGUUUCCCCAUCAGCUUUAAGACCCAGUUUUCUGGCCACUGCUUCCACCAUGUUGUACUGGGCAUCUACUGCAACGGCCGCUAUGGGUCACUUGGCAUGAGCCGCCGGCAGGACCUGAUGGACAAACCGCUGACACACCGCACACUGGGAGAACUUGUAGCUGAGUUUGAGAGCUCCUACAAAAGAUACCAGCACACUCUGAAGAAGGUGAAGAUCGGCCUGUAUGUGCCUCACGACCCCCACGUCUUUCAGCCGAUUGAGUGGAAGCAUUUGGUGCUGAACGCUGCACGACUGGGAGCCCAGGAGAUGAGGAAGGAACUGGAGAAACACGGCCGAGAUAUGAGGAUGAAGAUCCUUAAAUCAUCCAGUGCGCAGUCACCAAUCAAGGAGCGGAGCCGGGGGAAAUCCUUAUCACCAAGGCGACGGCAGAGCAGUCCCCAGCGACGCUUCACACACCGCAGAGACAAAUCGCCGGCCUCGGUGGAGAGGAAACCUCCGGAGCUUAGCACUCUUAAUGAUGGCUACCAGAUCCGCAUCUGAUCCCCAUCAUUACCUCCCAAUCAUCCAAAAUCCGUCCAGCCUUCUCAGCCACCCUGAUCCUCCUGAAGAGCCUCUACCUGCCACCGCUUUCAAGAGAGGAGUCACUGCAGCUAGAGCGAUUUCACACAGUCAAGGUGGUUGACGAACACACUAAAACAUGUUAAAAGAGCUUUUCUGAGCUGGAAGCGGAAGAAUAUUUCAGAAGCCAAGACUCGGACAAAAAGUGACUGGUUGUUCUGGUUUUAAUGCCUAACAGUGGACUGUUCAGUAGCAAUGAAUUCUUGACAACAGCCUCAUCAUUUAACACCUGAGAGUGGCUGCUCUUUCUCUUACACAUACACGUCAGUCAUGUAGUUGAAGCACUAUCCAUCUGAUGUAGGAUAAGCCCAGAAGAAGUGCUAUCAAUGCAUUUCUAGAUUAACAAGAUUUCAUUGAACUGGUAGGUAGAAAUUAAAGGCUGAGAGCUGUCAUGUCCUGACAACAGAUAAAGCCAAGUGUUGUGUGACCCCUCAGUGACCUUGUGUCUUAGAGAAGGGCUACAACAGGAAGUGAGAGAGAAGAAAGAGUAGAUAUUUAUCAGCACAAAUGGGUGAACAUAUUUUUCAGUGGUUGAGAGAGACCGGUAUCCAUGGUGGAAGAGUCACCACAAGAACAUAUUCUGUUUCUCUUCGCACAGAACAGACUAAAAAUAUUUAAAUUUAUUGGGGGUUUUGGCACGUUAUCGUGUUAAAUUAUCAGUUAUCAUGAUGCUACUUCUAUGGCACUAUUUCUUACUGAGAAUUUAAGUCAAGGAUGGGAGCAGCAAUGACUUCACAGGGUUUCAUUUUGUUGUCAGUUUUCCAACAUGGCAGGCCUAGAGGAGGAGAUUCACAGGUGUGGGUGUUGUUAUCCCACUUUAUUCUCACAUCUGCUCAACUACUGCAGCACUUUGGCUUUAAUAAAAAGACCACUGAAGGGAUGUUCAGAAGUAAUAUUUCAGUUUCAAUCCGACCUUUCCAAAACCCCCUGAACCAACAGCAACUUAAAUAAGAUGACUAAGUAGACUUCCACAUGCAGAUUCUAUUGAUCAGAGAGGACGAGUGUAGAAUAAGGAGAGGACGUUCAAUAAGGUAUGCAGGGAAAUCAAAGACACGGAGUUCAUAGAGAGGAAAAGAAAGAAGAAGAGAAGAGAUGGAAAGGGGUGAGAAGAGAGGGAGUUAUAUAGAGAGAGGAUUCACUGCAGAACAUCAGUGAACGAUCAUUAGAGCACUGCGGCAAACCUCCUGCCCCCCACCCUACCCCCUCUCUUAUUCCCCUCCUCCUCUGCCCUCUGUUGACACAUAACUGAAUACAUAACCACAGCUCUGUUUCCAGCCAAGUAAAACUCCUCAAACACAAAAAUGUAAAGACUCAAAUACAGACUCGUGUUGGACAAGAAGUUUAUGGUCACAGUAUCUAAAACUAAAUAUGUAGACAGAAAGGCACUUACUGAUAUUAUAGUAAAAGAGAAGGUUCAGCAUUUUUGUCCACAUAACUAUUGAUUGAGUCGAUCGUUCAACGUUCACAUUGUUAUUUAUUCAACAAGGUGAUUUCUAUUAUUUAUUAUAGCUUAAUUGUUUGGAAAAAACACCUGUUUGCAUGGAAAUUUAGCUGUAGGCUAAGCUAGCUUGUCCAUCCAUCCAUCCCAUUCUUAUGAACGCAGCAUCUCAAGAAUACCUGGAGGGAAUUUCUUCAAAUUUGGCACAAGUGUCCACGUGGACUCAAGGCUGAUAAGGUUUUGGCAGUCAAAGGUCAAGGUCAGUGUGACCUUGUGUCCGUUUCCAUUCUCGUGAUCGCAGUAUUUCAGGAAAAGCCUUGAGGGAAUUACUUACGAUUUGGUACAAACUUCCACGUUGACUCAAAGAUGAACUCAUUAGAUUUCAAUGGUCAGAGAUCAAAGUCAGUGUAACCUUGCAUCUGUUUCAUUCUCAUAAAUGUGAUAUUUCAAGAAGGCCUUGAGGGAAUUUCCUCAAAUUUGGCACAACUGUCCACUUGGACUAAAAAAUAAACUGAUUAGAUCUUGGUGGUCAGAAGUCAAGUUCACUGUGACCUUGUGUUUACAGUGACCUUGACAGCCUUAAAAGGAAUUUCCUUGAAUUUGGCACAAACAUCCACUUGGACACAAGACCAAACUGAUUCAGUUUUGGUGGUUAAAGGUCAAGGCCACUGUGAUCUCGCAAAACAUGUUUUUGGCCACAACUUAAGAAUUAACACAUUAAUUAUGACAACAUUCAUUAUUCUUUUUUCUUUCUCAUGCCUUAACUCAACUUGUUGUUGAGAGUGAAAUGUGAAUGAUACAGAAUCAACCACAGUUCAGUUUAACAUUAAACAUACCACACAUUGAGAGGUCAACACAAUUGAUGAAUGAGAGCAUUGUGGAUUAUUCUUAAAAUACUGUGAUCUUGAAAAGGGUACCUUAAAAAGUAUAUCCUGAAAAAUUAAAUCACUAGUUUUUCCAAAACAGGUUAGCAGAAGGCUGUGGGGCUUCGGAUGUGUCAACCAAACUCUGCUGUAGCCAACCCAUGUGUUCACACAGUAAACUAACGUACUGUUGGCCAGCUGGGUGCUGCCUUCACAGCUGUUCCACCAACAGCUGGAAAAUAAAACAAUUUAGCUGGUCCAAGUUCAGCUGAAGCCAGUUUGUCCACUCAGACAAAAGAGAAGUGAAGGCAGAUGUUGGCCGAGUGAACACUCUAACAAAGGCCUCAUUCAAGACAGAUUUAUCUGACAGAGGGAUACAAUACUCUGCACGCUGUCAGCAGAUAAUACAGGCAGUUGGGACAGUGGGGGCAGGACCUUUACAGGGCUCUAAGAUGAUUGUUUUGGUCACCAAAUGCUCCUAUUAAUGAAAAUUGUCAUGUUUUAAUCUCAUGGAUGAAUGCAUUUUGACUUUUGGUGUAAUACUGAGAAACUGAGAUAUUGAGUCAAAGGACACUGCUCCAGCUCCGCAACAUGAGGGCAGCUCCACUCUGUGUUUGUCAACCUAGAAUGUCAAAGAAAGUCAAAAUGUUUUGUUAAAGCAGUUUUCCAAUCAGAAACUCAUAUUUUUAGUUCUUCACAGGGGACAAAUAAGAGUCAGGCAACCAUGAAAGUUCUCAGAGCAGCUUGCUGAAUUGUCUUAUUGCUCAGAGAAGCUUCUGUACCGAUGAGAGCCUUGAUGAGAGCGUUCAGUACUGUAUGCACUGCUUCACGCUCGUAUGCGUGAUGUAUCAAAAGGAUUGUCCAAAAAAAAAUCCAAUCAAGUCUGAAUUUGAUUGGGGUUUUAUUGUUUGGAUCUUCCUGUUGAGGCCUUCGAUGAUCACAGCUGAGAAGCUUGAAAUCAAAGAAGCUUGAAAUCACACGUCACACAUGUCAUAGUUGGUUUUAACCAGUGAAAUGAUGUUUGAAUAUCACGUAUCAUACCAGAGACAAAACAGUAUUCAGUUGUUAACAGAAACCUUAUAUCGAAACAUAUUCAACACAUGCUGUACUCAGAUACAGUAUAUAUGUUUGUACGUCAAAAUGCAUCUACAUUAAGUCAUGUUUGUUACAUCCACAGAAUGUACCGUAUGGUUUUAAGCCUUCAGACUGAGAACUAUAGAAGUCCGUUUUUAUUGAGAAAGUGUUGACGAGUACAACCAGCUCUGUUCACAGAAUUAAGGGGUUAAGUUAGUUGCUCAAUGACAUUUUGAGGGCAGCUAUUGAGUGAAGACAAAAGAUUAAAUCCAUGAUUUAAAAAAAAAAAAAAUCAUUAAAGGCUAACUCUUUCUGCUACAUAGAACCGAACAGACAAUACAACUAUCUGCCUUUAGCAUGACUGAAAAAACCCAGCUGAUUUCUAUAGUUUUCAUCUGAAGGAUUAACUCUCAGAAAAAUGGUGUUUCCUAAAAUCAAGCUCAGAGAUUAUCUUUUUUCAAUUAGGCUGCACGCAACAACAUUAGGUUUCUUGACGACCAAAGCUAGCAAUGAUCGAACACCUGUAAACUUCUACAACAAAGUAACUCAACUCCUUACUUUAACUUCCAGCUGCUACAAACAAAAACAGCAACUUAUUUUAAAGGCACUCUGUAAAGUUUUUGGCCACUGGUAGUGAUGUGGAGCAAUGUUUUUAAAAGUGGGUGCUUGUUUUGUUAGUAUCUCAUGUAUGCUAACUAUUAUGUGCCAAGGAAUGCCAACAAAGGCAGGAAGGCUGCUAGCAAGCCAACAGGAUGUUAACUUUGUGAUUUAAAGUGAUGUCAAAGGGUGCACUUUUAACUUCACACCUAAUGGAACAAAGAUAAUCUUACAUAUCUGUAAAGUUUAGGGGAAAACACUCCUCAUUUUACUUUUGGUGUUUUGGUCGCAUCAGUCAUCAGCAGGAGGGUUUCAGGAGUCUGUGUACAGAUUGUUUGUGAAUAUUGUCAUUUGAUUGUUUUAUCACUUUCCUUUGAAUGUUUCACAGUGUCUUCUCGCUCACAGAACAAGUAUGUUUUGUUGCCAACUGAACGUUUUAUCCUAGCUUUUUGUUCCAACAACGAGCUAUGCACACGCCACAUGGAGAGCAGGUGAUGACAAAAAUCCUAGUCUUCCAAUUCAAACAAUGGAGGAGGAAGGUGUUUGUGGCUCAAUCUACAAAAAAAAAUCUAAAACAUCUGCACAGAAAAACAAAUCUUGGUUAUUAAGACUAACUCGCCAAGAACCCACAGCUUUCCCUCUGUGCAGCUCCAGCCUGAGCCAUUACCACUAAAUCAAGGUGCUGUGAGAAAAAAAGCAGAAUAUUUUUACAUAUUUCUGAUGUUUGGCCAGCAGUGGACCAUAGCACAGCCCAGAGACAGAGAUCUGACACUCUGGCACAAAGCAACCAGCUCACCAUGUUAAUAUUUGUAUUGAAGCUUCAGUGUUGAUAACUUUCUAAAGGCGCGAUGUUUGUUAGCAUACAGACGAAGCACAACGCUGCUUUUGCUUUUUGAGUAUUCAAAAUCCUGUUUCACACCGGGGUUGUGGACGAAACAAGACGGGGAAUUGGUGCAUUUUCACACUGAAGAAGCAACAUAUCUUGGAGUACAUCUUUCAGGAAAGACGAUUUUCUGACAUGUGUUUCUGGAACUAUACAAAACGGAGAUUCAACAGUUACCAAGGACCUAAAGUUCACAAAUAUCUCAAUGCACAAAUUAUAAUGGAAACUUUGGAUUUAAAGACAAACAUCAACACUGCAGUUGUAAGGAUUUGACCCAACUGCAGUGACAAGCUCCCUGACUGCUCAGCAGGGACACGGGAACUGCGACAAGUCACGACAAAAUACAACAACCCCAAACAGUGAUACUCAAUGUAGCAACUGAAAUCUGUUUGUAUGUCCGUUUGCAAUAGAGACGUUUGUGCUUGACGGUUUUAUUGAAUGUUUUGUUUUUGUUUUUUUUAAUAAGAUUCUGUUUGUGGUUUGACUUCUUGAAGACAUUUGGGUUUGAUUCAUUGAUUGUACACUAUCAUUUUGAAUGAGACCAUUUGUUUAAAAAACAAAAAAAGAACAGUAGUGUAGCCGAUGUUCUUUUUUUAUGGCCUUUGAUUUGUUUCCAAAGUGCUGAUACCACAUUUCUCAACUCCAUCCUGGUCCUGAUCUUUCUGUACUGUAAAAUGUACUGUGUGUUUGGAAAUCAGCGAUUAAUGAGGAAACUUCUUGAGGCUCUGCUGUGGCUUGCGGCAAGCCCACCUGUGUAACUUCAUGAGUUUAACAUGAGUGAGUUCUAUAGAAACUUUACACACUGAGGUUGCUCAUCAGUUAAAUCUCAAAGUUCCCCACUACAUAUGAUAAAGAAAUUCUAUUUGUGCACUGUGUCUGCUGAAUUGACAAAAAAAAAGCCGAACCAAAUUCAGAGCAACAUAUCUCGACGAUGUUUGACAUAUAAAUAUUUAUUAGACAUUAAAAAUGUCCGUGUGAAGCUUCCAGUGCCUCAGCAGUGUGGGUUUAAUCAGAUAAGACUAUCCUUAAGUUUUGACUUUGUGUCUUUGGUGUGUUCUUCGGAGGAGUUGCCCAUGUGCAUUGUGCAAAAAAAAAACUUAUUGAGUCUGUCAGCUAUCCGCUUCUGUUCUUUAUUUUCCUGAUCACACAUGCUCUGAAGUUCUUGACAAAAAAGAAAAUGUUUUGUUGCAGUUUUUUGCCUGUUUCUGGAAACAAUUUCAUUCAACAUUUAAAAGCAGACUGAUCUGCUCUGUGCUGCGAAGAACUCUCAAAUCUGAGGCGGCAGAAGACGAGCAAAAAAUCAGUGUGAUGUGUGUGUGUGUGUGUGUGUGUAAAUCAAACCACUGUAACAGUAUUUAAGCGUCUUCAACUGUGAGUGACUUUAAUAUGUGGAAACACCACAGAGCCCUGAGGAGCCCACACACACAUACACACUAUAAUUAUUAUGAUUAUUAUUGUUUCUAAAGAGAGCUGUUGAGGUUCCCUGUGUGAGGACGUGGUGUGGUUUUGUAUUCCUGUGGAGCUCUAUAGUAGGAGAUGUGACCCUCAGUAAAUAUUAUUAUGUACCUUUCCUACUGUUACAGUAUCAGUGGUCUGACAGCAGCUGUUUCUAUCAACAACUGUAGCAGCAUGUCUUCUUUUAAUAAAUGAUCUAUGUUUUUAA
Non-coding RNA from Epinephelus lanceolatus (giant grouper), 8655 nucleotides. The record is from RefSeq and is a predicted model, not a curated record. NCBI's taxonomy places the organism in Eukaryota, Metazoa, Chordata, Actinopteri, Perciformes, Serranidae.